AAAUUGAAGAGUUUGAUCAUGGCUCAGAUUGAACGCUGGCGGCAGGCCUAACACAUGCAAGUCGAACGGUAACAGGAAGAAGCUUGCUUCUUUGCUGACGAGUGGCGGACGGGUGAGUAAUGUCUGGGAAACUACCUGAUGGAG
RNAcentral lists this ribosomal RNA (144 nucleotides) under Escherichia coli. Its description in RNAcentral is "partial 16S ribosomal RNA". It matches the Rfam family "Bacterial small subunit ribosomal RNA", at positions 1 to 138 of the family's 1533-position model. Lineage: Bacteria; Pseudomonadati; Pseudomonadota; Gammaproteobacteria; Enterobacterales; Enterobacteriaceae. The record is from RNAcentral.